UGGCCCAGCUCAAGUCUGGAGACCUUCCUGAGUAUGCCGGACACAUGGCCCAUGAUGCCCAGGACUGAAGGCCAGAGGCUCUUUUAAAGAAACAGACACGAUUCUAAAGUUCAAAUGGAAAUACGGAGGAGCCAGAAUUGCCCAAUCUUGUUAAAAAGAAAAAGGACAAAAUUAGAGGAUUUACAGAAUCUGCUUUAGGGAAUUAUUGUGCAACUACAGUGAUCAGGACGUUUCUAUGUCUGCAUAAACACAGACACACAGAUCAGUAGAACGUCACAGAGAAUGUGGAGGUGCGCCAGCCCACGCAGUGACAGUCCCUUGUCCACCAAGGCUCCUGGUCCACGGGUUGGGUAAGUGCAGGUCUUUUUAACUAACGAUGCUCCGUCAAUGGACAAGAAGCAGGGAGAAAGGUGAACCUGAGUCACUUCCUCACGGCAUAUACAAAUACUGAGAAGCUACAUAAAACUGAAUGUGGAACUUCCGGAAAAAAACUUACACCUCUGGAGGAGGCAAAAUGUAUUUAGACAGGACACAAAAAGCAUUAACCAUAAAAGAAAAAACAUUUUAUCAGAAUUAAAAUAUCAACGUCUCAAAAACACCAUUAGGAGAAUAAAUGGGCAAGUUACAGACUAAAAACUGCAUUUGUAGUUCUUAUAUUUGAUCAAGACUUAAAUGUAGAAUAUAUAAAAAUUCAUAUAAAUCAACAACAAAAGAUGAAGAGCCCAGGAGAAAUUAACAAAAGACAUGCGCACACACAUUGAUGAAAGAAGGUAUGUAGACAGCCAACACACACGAAAACAUGGAAAGGAGCCCCACCUUGCCAGUCGCCGAGGGACACAGAUGAAAACAACGGACAUCGCUCACGUCCUCUGAAUCGACUACAGUUUAGCCAGGAAGUACCAAACUGGCUACCGUUUAGCUAGCCAGAAAGCCCGGCAGCGCCAGUGUCCAUGAGGGUGUCCAGUGACCAAAACGUGCAAGUGUCCAAGUCGUGCUGACCCCACUGGAGGUGGUUAGGCCACUUCCUGCAGCGGUAAACACACACCGACCGUGAGCCGGGAAUCCCACCCUCUCCAAUUCACAAAACGUGGAUGAAAACGUACCUUCACAAAAGGCUUCUGGAAGAACGUUUCUAGUGUCUUACUUGUAACAGCCCUAAAUGAGCAGCAAGCAAAGCCUACUGGGCCAUCUCAACACCUGAUAAAUGAGCUGGAGAGUGGGCAGACGAGGUCUAUUCACACAACGGUACGACCCAAAGCAAGAAAGCGAAAGCAAAAUACUUCGUGCACACGUGGACAUUGAUCUGAGGGGAUACACGGGAGGAGAAUUGCUGGGCACGGGGUGUGUGAAAGUCCCUCUUUAUAAGAAAACGACAAACCCUUCCCAGAGCGGUUGUACUGAGCACCCCCCGCCAGCCAGGAGGCCGCUGCUGCUCCACGUCGCACUCUGAGCUCGUGGGACUGGUACUGUUCCACCACCCUCAAUGACUGCACGUCCCUCC
Long non-coding RNA from Tupaia belangeri chinensis (Chinese tree shrew), 1501 nucleotides. RefSeq lists it as uncharacterized. NCBI's taxonomy places the organism in Eukaryota, Metazoa, Chordata, Mammalia, Scandentia, Tupaiidae. The record is from RefSeq and is a predicted model, not a curated record. The transcript has 3 exons.